RNAcentral lists this ribosomal RNA (433 nucleotides) under uncultured bacterium. Its description in RNAcentral is "partial 16S ribosomal RNA". It matches the Rfam family "Bacterial small subunit ribosomal RNA", at positions 29 to 507 of the family's 1533-position model. The record is from RNAcentral.
AACGAACGCUGGCGGCAUGCCUAACACAUGCAAGUCGAACGAGACCUUCGGGUGUAGUGGCUCACGGGUGCGUAGCGCGUGGGAACCUUCCCUUAUGUUCGGGAUAACUCCCCGAAAGGGGUGCUAAUGCCGGAUAAUGUCUGCUGACCAAAGAUUUAUCGCGCUUGUGGGGGCAGGCGUUGUAUUAGCUUGUUGGGAAGGUAAAAGCCUACCAGGGCGAGGAUCCAUAGCUGGGCUGAGAGGCAGAUCAGACACACUGGGAGUGAGAAGCGGUCGAGAAUCCUACGCGAGGCAGGAAUGGGGAAUAGUGCAAAACGGGCGAAAGGAUGAAGCAGCACUGAUGGGUGAGCGCUGAUGGUCGUAAAGAAGAAAAGCUCUUUUAACCGCGAUGAUAAUGACAGUACCGAAAGAAUAAGCUCCGGCUAACUACGUG